Mastomys coucha (southern multimammate mouse) is the source of this 432-nucleotide long non-coding RNA. RefSeq lists it as uncharacterized. The transcript has 2 exons. The record is from RefSeq and is a predicted model, not a curated record. Lineage: Eukaryota; Metazoa; Chordata; Mammalia; Rodentia; Muridae.
CCCAACAGUGGAGAGUUCUAAGAAUUUAGAGGUGAAAGGGUGCCUUAGAGAUGCCUGGAACUCUGCCUUGGGGAGAUUGGAAGCAGUAUGUGCUUUACUUUGGAGCAGACAGGGUGGGAUGCAGACAAUCCCAGAAGCUGUAGGACAAGCCCUAGACACCAGGGGCUUCUGUGGUCUGUGGUGGGUGACUACAGAACUGGCCAUGAAGAUGAACGAAAGCAUACAGGAUAUGCCUCAGAGGCUGGAAGUAGUUCUCAGUUAGAGAUGGAUUCUAGGUGCCAGGACAUCAAGGACUUGCAUAAGCAACAGAGUUGGCCAGGAGGCUCAGGAGGCCCAGAGAAGAUCAUAGUGACAACAUUUGUGACAGCAAGGGCUUGAACAAAAAAUCUGAAAUGUGAAAUAAAUGGUAAUAUACCCCCUAAACAUCUUGAA